Molecule: long non-coding RNA, 757 nt
Organism: Centrocercus urophasianus (Greater sage-grouse)
Lineage: Eukaryota; Metazoa; Chordata; Aves; Galliformes; Phasianidae
Exons: 5
Source: RefSeq, a predicted model, not a curated record
UGCCCAGCUUGAUGAUGAAAGGAGUUACACUACUGAAAUCUACUUUUUUUUUUUUAACCAGAUACAUCUAACUCCAGUACUUUCUGCUCGUUGUCCUUCACACCCUAGCAUUUCUCUAGCUCCCAUGAAGGCAGUGGGGAGCUGGCUAGUCCCACUCAUUGGGAAAGAAAAGUGGAACCUGCUCCUACAGGUGAGCCACCACCUGUUCCUGAUGCAGUGUAAGCCUGGGUUCAGCACAGCUGGGUGCUAGGCCAAGGUACGACCUCCUGGAGCUGCUCUCUUCUACGUCAUCUGACUGCAUUGCCAACAGCUCUUCUCUAGUUCCAGAAUUACUGACCAACACAAAGUAUGUAUGGAAAAUAUAAAGAUGACAGGAAAAAUGCCUGAAUAAAUAUGCUCUUUUACAUGGCAAACUUUUGGCUCAAGAAGAGAGAACAUUCGUCUUUUUCAAGAGAAAUGGAAGAAAAGGCAAGCAAGAAAGUAUGGAAGGGAAAGUGAGAUAAAGAAAGCAAGCUUCAGCCUGAGGAAGAACUGCUGUUGGAACAGAAAAAGGCAGAUGAGAGUGAGGAGUGGACGUGAGCACAGUAAGUUUGUAAGUGAUGCAUUUCAGCAUUGGCGACAGCGAUGUGAAAGACAAGACACGUUCUGGAUGGUCGUGCUCAUCUGUCACACUACAAAAUGAAGAGUAUAUCAUUUCAUCCCUGUGAAUCAUCAGAUUAUGACCAGACAGCUUUGUGUGAAGCUUCAGUGUGUUGAA